AGCGAACGCUGGCGGCAGGCCUAACACAUGCAAGUCGAACGAACCUUUCGGGGUUAGUGGCGGACGGGUGAGUAACACGUGGGAACGUGCCUUUAGGUUCGGAAUAACUCAGGGAAACUUGUGCUAAUACCGAAUGUGCCCUUCGGGGGAAAGUUUAAUCGCCUUUAGAGCGGCCCGCGUCUGAUUAGCUAGUUGGUUGAGGUAAUGGCUCACCAAGGCGACGAUCAGUAGCUGGUCUGAGAGGAUGAUCAGCCACAUUGGGACUGAGACACGGCCCAAACUCCUACGGGAGGCAGCAGUGGGGAAUCUUGCGCAAUGGGCGAAAGCCUGACGCAGCCAUGCCGCGUGAAUGAUGAAGGUCUUAGGAUUGUAAAAUUCUUUCACCGGGGACGAUAAUGACGGUACCCGGAGAAGAAGCCCCGGCUAACUUCGUG
This 434-nucleotide ribosomal RNA is filed under the name uncultured bacterium. RNAcentral's name for it is "partial 16S ribosomal RNA". It matches the Rfam family "Bacterial small subunit ribosomal RNA", at positions 29 to 507 of the family's 1533-position model. The record is from RNAcentral.